This 373-nucleotide long non-coding RNA is filed under the name Arabidopsis lyrata. RNAcentral's name for it is "long non-coding RNA (ALYR_LNC000533)". Lineage: Eukaryota; Viridiplantae; Streptophyta; Magnoliopsida; Brassicales; Brassicaceae. The record is from RNAcentral.
CUUUUGCAUAGUUUGCCUCAAAUCUUUCACAAAUUGCACAGUUAAGAUGCAAAGGAUAUGCUGAGAGCAUACAACUGAGUGGAUAAUCUGUACGAAACAUAUGGUAUCUGACAAAAUACCAUACAUUGAAUAUCUAAAAAAACAUAAAUAGAAACAGAUGAUACUUUUCUAGUUCAGAACCAUCAUAGAAGUACCAAAACAGUCUAAAACAGUUUCACAAGCAUCAUACAUCCAAUAAAGAAACAUAGUCCUAAGAAAUCUUAACACACUCAUUGAAGAUAUACACAACCAACUUGUUUCUGAUGUCUUCUGAAUCUAUAUCACACAGCUUGGAGAAAUCUUCAAUUCUCUGAUUCUCUGAAACUCUGUAGGA